Long non-coding RNA from Carassius carassius (crucian carp), 583 nucleotides. RefSeq lists it as uncharacterized. The transcript has 2 exons. The record is from RefSeq and is a predicted model, not a curated record. Lineage: Eukaryota; Metazoa; Chordata; Actinopteri; Cypriniformes; Cyprinidae.
UCUAAAUUUGACUGCCCCUUAUGUCCAAAAUCCUACCCACUAAUGACAUAUCAGCAAACCUGAUGUAUGUAACCAAUCCAAAUAUUCAAACUGAGUCCUUUGGUUAGUUACACAUUGAUGUCUAAGAGCCAGUCUGUUUUAAUAUUUACAGAGCUAUGAGUUUGUCACAGAGAGCGGUGCGAUUUCUCAGGAUACCUAUUUUAGUUACACUAUACGUCAAAGAGUGUGCUAUUCCAUUAACAGCACCAAAGCACUUUCAAUUCCAAUUUUAUAAUCAAUGCAUGUUCCUCUCAAUGAGUAGUUUCAGUGAGUUAUUAAUUUCAACUAGCAGUACAGAUUUAUAACAAAAUUUCUGCUAUAAUCUGCACAUACAGUACAUAUGUUUUGUCUGCUAUGAUGAAGGUGUUCAUGAUGAUGGCUCCAGCAUCAUUAUUGCUAAAUCUGGACAUGUUGCCGUUAAGAUGAUAUGAAUCUUCUUUCAUAUGAAUAGCAGUAUUCCCUGUGCUCUCAGAAGUGUUUAUUUUUUGUACUAUAUUGUUUGCAUUGGUAAAAACAGUGCAUAUAUAAUUAAAAUAAUAGUAAU